This 1073-nucleotide long non-coding RNA is filed under the name Aquilegia coerulea. RNAcentral describes it as "long non-coding RNA (ACOE_LNC001996)". Lineage: Eukaryota; Viridiplantae; Streptophyta; Magnoliopsida; Ranunculales; Ranunculaceae. The record is from RNAcentral.
AAAAAUCAAAUUCCCAUGGAACAUUUAAAAAUCAAUAAUGUACGGAAGCACCAAUCAAAUUUUACACAUUUCAAAAAUUAAUGAAGUUAUUGCAAUUGUUACUUUGUGAUCGAGUACUACAUUGCACCUGUUACAAUCAUCUAACAAUUUGAAAAUACAUAUUGUUUGGAUUCUGCAAAGGAAGUUAAAAAGAAGGUUUAGACCUACACCAUAGCUCGGUGCCCAUAGUGAUGUGGCGCCUUUUAUGUGUCUCAAAUCAACAGCAAAGUUUGUCUUGCCAAUGUAUUUCUGAUAGAUUUGCAUGCUUAAAUUGCUACCUCUGGCACUGUCAGCAAUCAUACAAACAACAAUUAUUUUUUGUUCUUGUGCCACAUAAUUGUUGUACUAUACAGUAAACAAAAACCUCUAUUCAUUGUGUGCUUAAAAUGAUCGCUAUAGUAAUCCAAAAGUUGGAAAACAUAUAAUACAAUAUAACCUGUUCACUCAACAACUUUGCAACCUUACAUUAUCAUAUAAAGAAACAUGUUAGAGUGAUGGUUUCUUCUAGUUAUAAUUAUCAUUCAUAAAUAGCCAUUACUUGCACAUCAUUGUCUAAACCAAUCAAUUCUCAACUCAGAUGAUUUAGACAAUUGAACUUAAGUGUUUAAUUAGCUAGGAAUAGUAUACACUAUAAAAUUUAAAGGGGAGUGAUUAUAUCAUACCUACACUUUAGGAGCAUCGAUAUACUUUGACAGGAUCAUAAAGUUCACUAUACAUGUGUUGAAACAUGUAAGACAAUUGAGGCAAAGUUUUUUUUUUUUUAUUGUUGUAUAUAAGAAAGACUCCUUGUUUGCUUAUAGUAUAGAUGCAUAUAUGUUUUAGUGUCCACACUUUGAAAUUGCAAUAAUUGUGCGUUUUUUUCGCAUUCUGAUAAGUGAAACAUUGGAUGGAUUUAAGAUUUACCUUCACAUUGAUCCUUGUUGCAUUGAAGUAACCAGUUUCUACAUCAGCCAUAGUGGUAUUAAUCCUUCCCAUCUCUUGCCUUUCUAAGUUGUAUGUUAAGCUAGCUUUACUAUGCCAGGAAUCACAAUAUC